GCAGAGUAGGUUUAUGUGCGUUAAGUGCCGGCUGUACAGGGAGUUGACAGUCAGACGAAAAGAGAAAUCUUGCGGUACAUAGGCCGCAUCCCGCUGC
RNAcentral lists this non-coding RNA (97 nucleotides) under Lachnoclostridium edouardi. RNAcentral's name for it is "THF riboswitch". It matches the Rfam family "THF (Tetrahydrofolate) riboswitch aptamer". From Rfam's summary of the family: THF riboswitch presents a pseudoknot that joins P1-P2 and the loop of P3 and two THF binding. Lineage: Bacteria; Bacillati; Bacillota; Clostridia; Lachnospirales; Lachnospiraceae. The record is from RNAcentral.